AGUUAAAACGCCCGUAGUCUGAAUUGGCCAGCAAUGGUCGUACGUAUUUUUACGUUCACUGUGAACAAAUCAGGACGCUUAGAGUAUGGCCACAUGAAUGACUCAGCGCAGUAUGAAGUCUUUGUUUUCUUCCUGAAAACAAGCUCAAUGAGAGCCAUCGGGGGUAGAUCUAUCUCAUGACGAGUGGUGGAAUACUUUGACUCAUGAGAGAGAAGCUGAGGCGAAGGCGUCUACCUAGAGGGUUUCUGUCGAUCAAGGGCGAGAGUAGGAGUAUCCAACAGGAUUAGAGACCCUGGUAGUUCCUACCUUAAACGAUGCCGACAGGAGUUUGUCAUUUGUUAAUGGCAGAAUCUUUGGAGAAAUCAUAGUUCUUGGGCUCUGGGGGAACUACGACCGCAAGGCUGAAACUUGAAGGAAUUGACGGAAGGGCACACCAGGGGUGGAGCCUGUGGCUUAAUUUGAAUCAACACGGGGAAACUUACCAGGACCAGAUGUUUUUUAUGACUGACAGGCUUCGGGUCUUUCAGGAUAUUGUUUUUGGUGGUGCAUGGCCGUUGGUGGUGCGUGGGUUGACCUGUCUAGCGUUGAUUCAGCUAACGAGCGAGAUUAUCGCCAAUUAUUUACUUUGCCGAAGUCCUUCGGUUAAAGUUCUAAUUGGGACUCCCUGCGAUUUUAGCAGGUGGAAGAGGGUAGCAAUAACAGGUCCGUGAUGCCCUUUAGAUGCUCUGGGCUGCACGCGUGCUACAAUGUUAGGAUCAAUAGGACUGCGAGCCUGAGAGGGUGCGCUACUCUUAUAAUCCCUAACGUAGUUGGGAUUGACGUUUGUAAUCAGCGUCAUGAACCAGGAAUCCCUUGUAAAUGUGUGUCAACAACGCACGUUGAAUACGUCCCUGCCCUUUGUACACACCGCCCGUCGCUCCUACCGAUUGGAUGACUCGGUGAAAUCACCGGAUGCUUACGAGCAGAAAGUGAUUAAAUCACGUUAUCUAGAGGAAGGAGAAGUCGUAACAAGGUAACGGUAGGUGAACCUGCCGUUGGAUCAGUU
This 1045-nucleotide non-coding RNA is filed under the name Trichomonas vaginalis G3. Its description in RNAcentral is "Eukaryotic small subunit ribosomal RNA". It matches the Rfam family "Eukaryotic small subunit ribosomal RNA", at positions 617 to 1831 of the family's 1831-position model. The record is from Rfam by way of RNAcentral. Lineage: Eukaryota; Parabasalia; Trichomonadida; Trichomonadidae.